GAUUAACGCUGGCGGCGUGCAUAACACAUGCAAGUCGAACGAUGAAACUUUAAUGAACCCUUCGGGGAGAAUUAAAGCGGCUUAGUGGCGAACGGGUGAGUAACGCGUGAGUAACCUGCCUUACACAAGGGGAUAGCCUUUGGAAACGAAGAAUAAUACCCUAUAAAACCAUAAAAGCACAUGCAAUUAUGGUCAAAGUGAUAGCGGUGUAAGAUGGACUUGCGUCUGAUUAGCUAGUUGGUGAGAUAAAAGCCCACCAAGGCAACGAUCAGUAGCCGGCUUGAGAGAGUGUACGGCCACAUUGGGAAUGAGACACGGCCCAGACUCCUACGGGAGGCAGCAGUGGGGAAUUUUGCACAAUGGGGGAAACCCUGAUGCAGCGACGCCGCGUGAUUUAGAAGGCCUUCGGGUUGUAAAAAUCUUUUGUAUAGGAAGAAAAUGACAGUACUAUACGAAUAAGGUCCGGCUAAUUACGUG
RNAcentral lists this ribosomal RNA (477 nucleotides) under uncultured bacterium. RNAcentral describes it as "partial 16S ribosomal RNA". It matches the Rfam family "Bacterial small subunit ribosomal RNA", at positions 28 to 507 of the family's 1533-position model. The record is from RNAcentral.